RNAcentral lists this ribosomal RNA (253 nucleotides) under uncultured bacterium. RNAcentral describes it as "partial 16S ribosomal RNA". It matches the Rfam family "Bacterial small subunit ribosomal RNA", at positions 524 to 776 of the family's 1533-position model. The record is from RNAcentral.
UACAGAGGUCUCAAGCGUUGUUCGGAUUCAUUGGGCGUAAAGGGUGCGUAGGUGGCGAGGUUAGUCAGGUGUGAAAUCUCGGGGCUCAACCCCGAAACUGCACUUGAUACUGCCUUGCUCGAGUACUGGAGAGGAGAUUGGAAUUUACGGUGUAGCAGUGAAAUGCGUAGAUAUCGUAAGGAACACCAGUGGCGAAGGCGGCAUCCUGGCCAUGUACUGACGCUCAGGGGCGAAAGCGUGGGGAGCAAACCGG